GGAGUUGGCCGAACGAUCGCUGCUGUCGCAAGACAGGGGAGGAAAGUCCGGGCUCCGCAGGGCAGGACACCAGGUAACGCCUGGGAGCCGCGAGGCUACGGAAAGUGCCACAGAGAACGAACCGCCGAUGGCCUGGAUAAAACCAGGAUCAGGUAAGGGUGAAAAGGUGCGGUAAGAGCGCACCGCGUCGCUGGUAACAGGGACGGCACGGAAAACCCCGUCCGGAGCAAGACCAAAUAGGGAAGGACGUGCCGAAAGGCACAACGCGUGGCCCACGCGCCUUCCGGGUAGGUUGCUGGAGCGCCGCGGUGACGCGGCGCCUAGAGGAAUGAUCGUUCUCGACAGAACCCGGCUUACAGGCCGACUCCUUUU
RNAcentral lists this RNase P RNA (372 nucleotides) under Panacagrimonas perspica. Its description in RNAcentral is "Bacterial RNase P class A". It matches the Rfam family "Bacterial RNase P class A". From Rfam's summary of the family: Ribonuclease P (RNase P) is a ubiquitous endoribonuclease, found in archaea, bacteria and eukarya as well as chloroplasts and mitochondria. Its best characterised activity is the generation of mature 5'-ends of tRNAs by cleaving the 5'-leader elements of precursor-tRNAs. Lineage: Bacteria; Pseudomonadati; Pseudomonadota; Gammaproteobacteria; Nevskiales; Nevskiaceae. The record is from Rfam by way of RNAcentral.